This 425-nucleotide ribosomal RNA is filed under the name uncultured bacterium. Its description in RNAcentral is "partial 16S ribosomal RNA". It matches the Rfam family "Bacterial small subunit ribosomal RNA", at positions 354 to 796 of the family's 1533-position model. The record is from RNAcentral.
GUUAGGAAUAUUGGACAAUGGGCGAAAGCCUGAUCCAGCCAUGCCGCGUGAACGAUGAAGGCCUUCGGGUUGUAAAGUUCUUUAGCCGAUGAUUAUAAUGACUGUAGUCGGAAAAUAAGCCCCGGCUAACUUCGUGCCAGCAGCCGCGGUAAUACGAAGGGGGCGAGCGUUAUUCGGAAUCACUGGGCGUAAAGCGUGCGUAGGCGGUCUCGUAAGUUAGGAGUGAAAGCCCAGGGCUCAACCUUGGAAUUGCUCUUAAAACUGCAAGGCUAGAAUCUCGGAGAGGAUAGCGGAAUUUCCAGUGUAGCAGUGAAAUGCGUAGAUAUUGGAAGGAACACCAGUGGCGUAAGCGGCUAUCUGGACGAGUAUUGACGCUGAGGCACGAAAGCGUGGGGAUCAAACAGGAUUAGAAACCCGUGUAGUCC